UGGGGAAUCUUGCGCAAUGCACGAAAGUGUGACGCAGCAACGCCGCGUGCGGGAAGAAGGUCUUCGGAUCGUAAACCGCUUUCAGUUGGGACGAGGGUCAGCAGGUGAAUAGCCUGUCUGACUGACGGUACCUUCAGAAGAAGCCCCGGCUAACUACGUGCCAGCAGCCGCGGUAAUACGUAGGGGGCAAGCGUUAUCCGGAAUCAUUGGGCGUAAAGCGCGUGUAGGCGGUUCACCAAGUCCGCUCUGAAAGCCCAGGGCUCAACCCUGGGAGGCGGGUGGAUACUGGUGGACUAGAGUCCGGAAGAGGAGAUUGGAAUUCCUGGUGUAGCGGUGAAAUGCGCAGAUAUCAGGAGGAACACCAACAGCGAAGGCAGAUCUCUGGGACGUGACUGACGCUGAGACGCGAAAGCGUGGGGAGCAAACA
Molecule: ribosomal RNA, 427 nt
Filed under: uncultured Conexibacter sp.
Lineage: Bacteria; Bacillati; Actinomycetota; Thermoleophilia; Solirubrobacterales; Conexibacteraceae
Description: partial 16S ribosomal RNA
Rfam family: Bacterial small subunit ribosomal RNA
Source: RNAcentral